This 681-nucleotide ribosomal RNA is filed under the name Triticum aestivum (bread wheat). Its description in RNAcentral is "partial small subunit ribosomal RNA". Lineage: Eukaryota; Viridiplantae; Streptophyta; Magnoliopsida; Poales; Poaceae. The record is from RNAcentral.
AUGUCAAAUGGAUCUCUUGAUUGUCAUAUAUUUAAAAGUGGUGACGUUGUCCUAAAUUGGGAAACAAGGUACCAGAUAGUCCUCGGAAUUGCUAAAGGCUUGUCCUACUUGCAUCAGAGUUGCCGCGAGUGCAUCAUACACUGUGAUAUUAAGCCAGAAAACAUACUUCUCGAUGCAUCACUUUUCCCCAAAAUUGCAGACUUCGGGAUGGCAACAUUUAUUGGAAGGAAUUUUAGCCGAGUCCUUACCACAUUCAGAGGAACAAUAGGUUAUCUUGCCCCGGAGUGGCUUAGUGGAAUUGCUAUCACACCAAAAGUUGAUGUUUACAGCUUUGGCAUGGUAUUGUUCGAGAUCAUAUCAGGAAGGAGAAAUUCUCCUCAAGAAAAUAGUGGCACCAGUGAUCUUGUUGAAUAUUUUCCUAUCCAAGUCAUCAGCAAGCUUCAUGGGGAAGACAUGCAGAGUUUGGUGGAUCCACGGUUACAAGACAUAUUUGAUUUGGAACAAGCUAAAAGGGUAUGCAAAGUUGCAUUAUGGUGCAUCCAAGAUAAUGAGUCUCAGCGGCCCACAAUGAGUGAAGUGGUUCAGGUUCUUGAGGGUCUCACCGAGAUUGAUCUGCUUCCGAUGCCAAGACUACUUGCAGCUAUAACUGAACACCCUAAUGGAACUGAAACUUCAGUGUAA